GUGUAAAUAGUAUAACUAUUACAAUAGUUUUUCGUGCUAUAGAUUUGAUAUUUUCAAUUUAUACA
RNAcentral lists this transfer RNA (65 nucleotides) under Eclysippe vanelli. Its description in RNAcentral is "tRNA-Glu". The record is from RNAcentral. Lineage: Eukaryota; Metazoa; Annelida; Polychaeta; Terebellida; Ampharetidae.